GCUGGGUGUGGUGGCGCACACCUGUGGUCCCAGCUACGCAGGAGGCUGAGGCAGGGGGAUCACUUGAGCCCAGGAGGUUGAGGCUGCAGUGAGCUGUGAUAGCACCACUGCACUCCAGCUUGGGCGACAGAGUGAGACCCUGUCUCAA
Molecule: unclassified non-coding RNA, 148 nt
Organism: Pongo abelii (Sumatran orangutan)
Lineage: Eukaryota; Metazoa; Chordata; Mammalia; Primates; Hominidae
Rfam family: Metazoan signal recognition particle RNA
About the family: The signal recognition particle (SRP) is a universally conserved ribonucleoprotein. It is involved in the co-translational targeting of proteins to membranes. The eukaryotic SRP consists of a 300-nucleotide 7S RNA and six proteins: SRPs 72, 68, 54, 19, 14, and 9.
Source: Ensembl